CCUACGGGAGGCAGCAGUAGGGAAUAUUGCUCAAUGGGGGAAAGCCUGAAGCAGCAACGCCGCGUGGAGGAUGAAGGUUUUCGGAUUUUAAACUCCUUUUGUUAGAGAGGAUAAUGACGGUAUCUAACGAAUAAGCACCGGCUAACUCCGUGCCAGCAGCCGCGGUAAUACGGAGGGUGCCAGCGUUACUCGGAAUCACUGGGCGUAAAGCGCGCGUAGGCGGGAUAGCAAGUCAGAUGUGAAAUCCUUGGGCUUAACCAUAGAACUGCAUUUGAAACUGUUAUUCUAGAGUAUGGGAGAGGUAGGUGGAAUUCUUGGUGUAGGGGUAAAAUCCGUAGAGAUCAAGAGGAAUACUCAUUGCGAAGGCGACCUGCUAGAACAUAACUGACGCUGAUGCGCGAAAGCGUGGGGAGCAAACAGGAUUAGAUACCCCGGUAGUC
This 440-nucleotide ribosomal RNA is filed under the name uncultured bacterium. RNAcentral describes it as "partial 16S ribosomal RNA". It matches the Rfam family "Bacterial small subunit ribosomal RNA", at positions 338 to 795 of the family's 1533-position model. The record is from RNAcentral.